This 315-nucleotide ribosomal RNA is filed under the name Triticum aestivum (bread wheat). RNAcentral describes it as "partial small subunit ribosomal RNA". Lineage: Eukaryota; Viridiplantae; Streptophyta; Magnoliopsida; Poales; Poaceae. The record is from RNAcentral.
AUGAGAAACAAAAGGGGUGCCACGGCGACGAUAACGAAAAUGGUGCCACCGCAACGUUCCGGUUCCGGUAACUCGAUUGAGAUACCGAUGCAAAAGAGAAAUGUGCGGAUGCAUGGAACACACAAGAGAUGGUGGGGUGAUCCCGGUUACCGGGUGUCCCAUGUGUUGGUGGCAUGGCAAUCGAGGGUCGUGCACGAAACAAACGGGCACGGUGCAACACACGGGGUUCAUCUCGUAUCACACAACAUUCGUCCACGGUGGUCGUCUCGAUGUUAUACCUUUGAAGCGUGUGUUUUCGGGGCGGAACGAGUUUGA